CAGCCGGAGCAACCGCGGCGCUUUAGAGUCACAGCUGCCAGGACCGCAGAGCACCGGCUCCGCCAGCCAAUCAAAAGGCAGGAGGAGAUGACAAAGAGAACAAAAAUACAAAGAGAACAAAGGUAUCGAACCUGGAGUAAAGAGUCAAUAUCAGACGAGAUAGUUAGGAGCAGUGGACACAGCGUCCAGGAGCGAAGCCCAGGACCUUCUACUCUCCGGCUGAUUUAGAGCCUUCGAGGAGGACUACUGGGGAGUCCGGACGAUUGUUGGACUUCGUCACAGGUGGGGAGACCCUCUGAGAUGACAGGCACCAGGAAAGCAGGACCCUCCACAGAAAAAGAGAAAUGGAAGAGAAAGAAGAAUGUUGAGAGUGAGAAAAGGACCAAAGAAAAGGCCGAAAGGAAAGUAGGAGAUGAAUUAUCCGACAGCGACAGAGAGGAGGAAAAGGGGGGAGUGGGAGGGGACUAGGGUAUCAGGGAGCACCACAAACCCCACCCCCCCAAAAUAAAAGGCUUAUCCAAUGAACAAUUUAAUUGAUUAUUCAG
Molecule: long non-coding RNA, 545 nt
Organism: Malaclemys terrapin pileata
Lineage: Eukaryota; Metazoa; Chordata; Testudines; Emydidae
Exons: 4
Source: RefSeq, a predicted model, not a curated record